This is a long non-coding RNA of Gadus macrocephalus (Pacific cod), 2113 nucleotides long. RefSeq lists it as uncharacterized. Lineage: Eukaryota; Metazoa; Chordata; Actinopteri; Gadiformes; Gadidae. The record is from RefSeq and is a predicted model, not a curated record. The transcript is spliced from 2 exons.
AAAUGGGAGUGGGCUUUGCUUCUUUUGGUGCUUCGCUGUAUUGGCCUCUUUGGCUGUCUGACUAGGUUACAAUCUUCUAUUAAGUUUGGUUGAAACGGCAUCUAUACCUUGUCACCCAGGCUACAUUUUUGAUGUGUUAUUUUCUAAAGGCAUUUAUGAAAUGCGAACAGACCAGACUACAAUCUUCUGUUAUUAGUUUAUCUUGUAGUGGCCUCUAUUCUCAAUAACCGCCAGGGCACAAUUGUAAGCCUCUUUUUAUAGCCUCGGUUUUAACCUGUCUGACUACAAUUUUUUGCAAAACUUGUGAAAUGCCUUUGGAAGGCACCCUGUCAGCUGUUUGUUGUGUCAGCAGGAAAUACCAUGAAGCCUUAUUUUGUGUUUUUAUUUGUGUUGUGUUGAGGUUUUUUGUGGGGGGAUUUGACAGUUGGAAAGCUGAUCGCCUAGCUGUGUCAAAACAAUCCAGAUGUACAUGUGUGACUGCUUUUAGGCCAGCUCUGACUCUACUGUCAGGCAUGCGGAUGCAAAUUUACCCAAGAGCUGCAGCUUCCUUAUCAGAAAAUAAAUCUAAUUCUCGAGUCUUUUUAUCAAAUGGCGCAUUAUGAAGUCGAGAGACAUGUGGAAAUCAUUAACAAUUAUAGGUAAUUCUCAAUCCUAGUUAAGCGAUAUACAACAGUGCUCUGAGAAAAUGGAUGUCUAAUUCCUCUGCUUCAGCCUCUGACUUGAGUCACAAAUCCACAGGUCCAUUCCGGCCUCAAAUAGGGUUAAUUUCCCGGGGGUUAAUGUCAGAAGAAGCUGCUAGUUCCCUCUCAGGACUCCCCGUUUCCGUGGUUACUGGUGGAAAAACGGGGCACUAGGGUAGGCUCCUCUGUCGCGUACGUCUUGACAGGUGCUGGCUUCCUAUUACAGCCUUAAACACCCCCAACCCCCACCCUGCCCCACCCCUUAAUCUCUAGUGACCACUGCCCCAGAGAGAGAUGGGGAGUGAGGGAGCUCUACAACACAUGUACAGACAGCACGCGAGCGAGCGAGAAAGAGAGCACCUGUUGGCCUCUAUAGAGUCCGCCUGGCAGACUUGAGGCCUGGCUUUAAAGAACACACACUCACACAGUGUGUGUGUGUGUGUGUGUGUGUGUGUGUGUGUGUGUGUGUGUGUGUUAGGGUCCGGAAGAGGUCACUGAGGACAGGAACUGUCCGUUGGAGAAGAGGGGCGGGUGUUGGUUAUCCCAUCUCUGAUACCCUUCCUCCAUAAUGGCACUGAACCGCCACAUUCACCCGAGUGUUUUCUUCCCGUUUUUUUGUUUUUUGUUACCGUUUCUCUCAUCACAAUGAUAUUCCUACCAAGUGUCAGGCAGCCAUUAGAUUGAGAACCUGAAAACUGACACCCUUGUGAGACUGGUGGUAAGGGGGGGUUUUCAAGGUGCUUUUGAGGCUUGCGUGGAAGGGCUGGGUGGGGGUUAAUGGCAGGGAGGGAAGGAGGGGUGGUACACUGGGGCUCCUAUGUGACGCCUUAAUGAGCCUCGGUGCACCCUGGGAAACCCACCUCCACAGGUGUCGGAACAAAGCCCCUCGUUUUUUUUUGUCUGUUUUCCUGAAAGAACACACGGCUUAUGCGGUCCUUCAUGCAGUCCUUCUUUAAAUUUCUAUCCAGGUUUUUGAUAGUAGUUUGAAGCAGAGUGACCAACGUUUGGAGAUUAGCCAUUAACCGACAAACGUUCUCACGACCAUAAUGGCUCAGCCGCUCUCUGCCAAUGGAAUCUCCCCGCACUGCCCAACCCGGGCCUGCCUCGCUUCUGAAAGACGUGAUGGCAGAACCCCACCCCCCCACCCCCACCCACUGUCCGGUCGGCAUUAAACCCACCAGCUGACCUCCAACCUUUUUCCUCCUCCACCACCACCCCACCUCCUCCCUCCCCCUCAAUCCCCCCCAGCGUACUUUGCCUCCUCCUUCUCCUCCAAGAUGCCAGGGCCUCUCUAUGCACAUCGUGUGUGUGUGUGUGUGUGUGUGUGUGUGUGUGUGUGUGUGUGUGUGUGUGUGUGUGUGUGUGUGUGUGUGUGUGUGUGUGUGUGUGUGUGUGUGUGUGUGUGUGUGUGUGUGUGUGUGUGUGUGUGUGUC